UUUUAAUUUUGUAGGAGUUUGCUUUGCUCUUUUUCUCUGCCAAACUAGUUAAUUAGGAGACUCAUUGUGGAGCAAUAAUUACAAGAAAAUGCCAUGCUCUGAAGAAACUCUCUUCUGGUUGUUCUACAAUGUCUCAAGCUCUUCCCUUCUCCUCCUCCUCUUUGUCUACUUCUCCUCCACUUUGCUGCUCAAGCUCCUCAACUUCAUUGGUAGCUACCCAAUAAUCCUAAGAAAUCAAAAUGGGUAUGAGUAUAAUUUCUCUGACGAGGAGGAAGAAGUAGAUACUGAAACGUACUACUACACCGAUCCUAGGGAAAAGGAUCACCUUGUGGCUGAUAUAGUUCUUGGUGGUGAAUCGCUUGUGUUUUUGUCUAACACGAGCAUUACUCAAAGAACCCAAAAUCAUGUUCAAGAAUUUGUAAACCAACGACAGUCCCUAAAAGGCGAAGAUAAUGAUGAUGAAACUUCUGCUAGUGAUGAUGAAAAGUUUUCUGUUCUUGCCUCAGCAGGUUCAGAAUCCAAAUAUGAUGAUGCUGAUCCUGUGGUUAAAGAAGAAGAAGAAGAAGACAUGACAACGAGAGAUGCUGAUUCAGUUUUUGAUUCUGCUCCGGAUCAUGGCGGCCCCACCACACCGAUCACCACAUACCGACAGAAAAAUGGUUUGAUGGACAGUGACAAAAACUAUGGUGGUAUUUGCAUCAUAAUAUGCUUCCCUCUAAUUGAAUUUGUUACGAUCUAUUCACGUGUUGUACUUCUAGUACUUGUGUUGUUAUUAUUCGUUCCUGAUAUUGCUUAUGCUAUAACUUGCAGAAGAUUACAUUAAUCAAGGAAUAGAAAAUAAGAAGAUGGAUACGAAUUUCCAUGGGGAUGAGAAGUUUUUUGUUUUUGCUCCAACCCAGUUCGAGACCAAGAAACUUCAAGUUCAAGAAAAGGAUGAUGAGGAGAUAUUUGGUGACUCAUGCACUGUGGGUUCUACAUCUAAGAGCUCCUCUGAAUGGAGAAGCUCAAUUAAGGAUUCAGGGACUGAAGAUCCAUUUUCUUCUUCUUCAAGAAGAAGUUGCCCCAAGUGGGAAUCCUACACAGUGUUCCAAAAAUAUGAUGAAGAGAUGACGUUCCUAGAUAGAGUUAGUGCUCAAAAGCUUCAUGAAACAGAGUCACUUAAGUCAAUUCAAGUGAACCCAAGAUCAAUUUCAGAUAGGAUUGUUCAUAAGAUUGCAACUAUGAACAAGAAGAAGCCUUCAGAUAUCCGCCAUAACCCGUAUCAUGAACUGGAAGCUGCAUAUGUUGCUCAGAUUUGCUUGACAUGGGAAGCUCUCAAUUGGAACUACAAGAACUUCAAUUCUAAGAGAGCGUCGCAGCGAGAUUUUGAUCGUGGUUGUCCAGGGCAUAUCGCACAGCAGUUUCAGCAAUUCCAAGUUCUUUUACAGCGUUAUGUAGAAAAUGAGCCUUAUGAGCAAGGCAGGAGACCUGAGGUGUAUGCCAGGGUGAGACUUUUGGCUCCAAAGUUACUUCUAGUUCCAGAAUACCGAGGUACGCAAAUUAUAUACUAGGUUAAUCCUAUUUUCAGAUCUUGAAAACUAGGUUAUUAAUUUCUUAAUCCUUCAUUUGGAUCCUCUGCAGAAUGAUGUAGAAAUUAAUUUGGAUCCAUCUGUCAUACUUUUAAGAUUGUGAACAGAGAGCACUAGUAUUAUUCUACCAUUUUCAUUAGCUUUUCUUGAUUCUUUCCAAGCUCUAAGUGGAGGGCCCUUAUUUCUUUAUUGGCUUCUUUUCCAAGGAAGGGGAAGGGAAGGCAGGUCUCUCUACAUACAUUACAAAGCAAACACUCAAUUACUGUACUUUUGACACCUUUCAAACUCCUGGGGAAUUGCAUCCUUGUCCUUCCUUUGUGUUUCUUGAAUUAUUAAUUGCUUGUCAUUUAUUUUUAUUUGAAUUCCUGCUUUUCAUUCUUUUUUUAUUUGCUUACUUAUAAACAUGACUAAAGAUUCAGAAGAUGAUACAAAUGAGGAAGGUUUUGGCUCUAGAAUUUCAUCAGCUGCAUUUCUCAUGAUAAUGGAAGAUGGAAUCAAAACGUUCAUGGAUUUUCUCAAGCUUGAUAAGCAGAAACCGUGCCAGAUUCUAUCAUCUUUCUUAAGACGAAACCGAAGAGGAUCAGUCGAUCCCGCUCUUCUCCAACUAAUGAAGAAGGUAAACAAAAAGAAGAAAAUGAAGCUUAAAGCUACAGAUUGUAUUUGUACAACUACUUCCAGAUGCAAAUACACCCCAGAAACGUGUUGAUGCCUGA
This 2281-nucleotide unclassified non-coding RNA is filed under the name Hevea brasiliensis (rubber tree). Lineage: Eukaryota; Viridiplantae; Streptophyta; Magnoliopsida; Malpighiales; Euphorbiaceae. The record is from RNAcentral.